UACGUAGGGUGCAAGCGUUGUCCGGAAUUAUUGGGCGUAAAGAGCUCGUAGGCGGUCUGUCGCGUCUGCUGUGAAAACUCAGGGCUUAACCCUGAGCUUGCAGUGGGUACGGGCAGACUAGAGUGCGGUAGGGGAGACUGGAAUUCCUGGUGUAGCGGUGGAAUGCGCAGAUAUCAGGAGGAACACCGGUGGCGAAGGCGGGUCUCUGGGCCGUUACUGACGCUGAGGAGCGAAAGCGUGGGGAGCGAACAGG
This 253-nucleotide ribosomal RNA is filed under the name uncultured bacterium. RNAcentral describes it as "partial 16S ribosomal RNA". It matches the Rfam family "Bacterial small subunit ribosomal RNA", at positions 524 to 776 of the family's 1533-position model. The record is from RNAcentral.